GGCAUAUAAUUGGUUGCAUUUCUUAUCGUUAUUAACAUUUAAUCUUAUUUCUUAUUCCCCUGCAGGUUAUCUUCAAGCCGUUAUUUAUAAUUUCGUGCUCGGCAACAUUUCCGGCAUUUUUAACCAGAAUACAUUUUUUGUUGGCGACCUUCAUACAAUACCGGAAACCAAUAAAAAAACGGCCAGAAGUUAUUGCCAGUCAACAAAGGAAAGGAAAACAAGGGGAGAAAUAUAAACACAGGUGAGGAGGCACGAAAUGGAACAGACUCACUCGGAUGAUAUGGGCGUGGUCUCGCCCGUGGCCGCCGCAAAAAAUAAAUAUCCAACUUCAAAAAUUCUUAACUGCAAGCCGGU
This 354-nucleotide small RNA is filed under the name Drosophila virilis. Its description in RNAcentral is "GJ25676". The record is from RNAcentral. Lineage: Eukaryota; Metazoa; Arthropoda; Insecta; Diptera; Drosophilidae.